AAGACCAUUUCCUUAAACUCUCAUAAGAAACAAGUCCAUGAAAAUACUGGUCACUAAAAGAUGCAAGUAAACCGAGCAGUAUGUAUUGAAAGCCAAUUUGUAAGGCUAGUUAGGCUUAUGAGCUUCGAUAAAAAUCUAUACUUGCGUUCUACAAGUCACCUUAAUCCUCGCUAAAUAAAAAAGUCACCUUAAUCCUAAUGUUACUUAAUAAUUACGUGGGAACUUUAUAUGGGAUCGUUUGUGUGUAGACACUAAUUUGGGAAUAUGAAAUUGUCGAGACUCCGGAGCAUCCCUAUCUCCACCGACCAGACUUUCUUCCCUAAUCUCCACCGAUUUUAUUCGAUUUUUCUUUGUUUUAAUCCUGCCAUGAGCGGCUAAUUCGCCGUCUCAUAGGCUCUGAUGGAGAAGAUAUACUCAAUUCUUAGAUUUACUGCAAUUUUGGGAUAUGUUUCUCAAAAACAAGAGGCGGAAUUGCUUAGAAGAUCUGCAAUUGAAUAAAGAAGAAAACCCCUUCUCACACGCAUCCUGCAGACGUUGAUGAUAUGAAGAUUAAUCGAUUCUAUCAGAUCUACUCCAAUAAUAAGGGGAUAUGAUUAAUAAGUUUGAGGAGGUGGAAAUAAAACUUGGUCUCUGCAACAACUCAAAUCCUUUUUGCAUGCUAUCUAUUGAUGCUGGAGAUAAGUACUUUAAGUCUUAGAAUUGAUUGAUCUUUAGCCUUGAUUAGGAAUUUUAUGCUUUUUAAUUCACCCCCCAUUUGAAUCUGAUUGAUUGGAUUUUGGUAUUAUUGUGACUCUAAUUAUCUUUAUUUAGAGUUUCGCUAUAGGAAUGCUUCAUAUCCCUGGUCUUGAAAAGAGUAACUAAAUCUGUUUAACGCCAUCGUAUUUUGAUUUCAAUUUCUUCCUGGAUCUUUCAGCUUGUGGUUUUUAUUUAGAAAAUCAAACCCUAUUAUUGCUCCUCAAAAUUCUGUUGAUUUGGUUUAUGUUCAUCAUAUGUUGUGCUUCUUUUGAUCCUAUGUUGUUUCCAAACUUUAAUAAAACCCGUGUUAGUUUUUUCCCCUUCAUGUAGCUGUUCAGCUGUGUAUUGGAGUAUCACCUUGUUUCGCUGAUUGGCAUGGUGAUGUUUCUUUGUGUUCAACUGGCCUCCUUGAUGUUUUUUCCCCUAUUUCUAAAAAUUCUGAAAAUUUCUUUUAAUGCUGUAGCUUAUCAGCUGGGUCUUGUGUAUCACCAUGUUUAGGUGCUUGACAUGAUGAUGUGUUAAAAAAAUUCUGUCCAUUGGAAAAUUCAAGGAGCUUAUCUGUCUGUAAUCUUGGUAUGAGGUUUUAUUUAAAGACUGCAACAUGAGCCUGAUUUGCACAGGGUUUUUACUCUGGUUCUUGAGAGUUUUGGGGACUUUUAAAUUUAAAGAGUGGGUGUUUUAUGAUUUUCUAAUCUGAUUCCCAACAAAAGAUUUCACAUUUCAUUUUCAUCCCUAUCUCCUCCUGUAAUGGUUUCCUUUGAGAUCAUAGUUAUUUUGGUUAUUGUGGAGUAUUCCUGUUUUUGUUUCUAUCUUAUAUGGGGUGAAUUCAGAAUUGCAUAACUUUCCUGUGCUACGGCUUUGCCAAAUUCAGUUGUUAUCGUGCCAAGAGCUUGGAGGGACAAAUAUUGAAUUGAACUCGAACUGAUAUUGCUGUUUAAGAUCCUUUCAAAUGAAUUUCCUAGCAUAUCUGAAGAAUAGACUAUCCCCUAAAAAGCAGUAAAUUACAUUAAUAUAAACAUGAGUAUAUCAAGUUGACAUCAGAGCGUAUGAGCUCUCAUUUCGGUUUGCAUUUCUUUUUCUUUUUUCUUUGUUUUUGCAUUUUCUUGCAGCUUGCUUAGUCUUUUUCCAAAAAAAAUUGUGCUUUUUUUCUAGCUCCCAUAGUGCUGUCUCAGAGUACAAUAUAAAAUUUGUUUCUGAGUGUAAAUAAGAUUUUCCUUUAUUCUUAUGACCCUGUGUUUGUAAACCAAAUUAUUCUCACUUCCCUCCUUUCUUAAAGUGAAAAAUCAAGCUUUCUUUACUGGUCUGUUAGUCUGCUUUUUCUCAUUUAAUCUCUCUAAAAAUAGUGUCAUUUUUAUAAACGAGAUAUUAUUUUCUUAUCCGAGACAAAAGCCCCGUUCGAUAGAAUGGAUUUUCUUUGAAAAAAUCUGAUUUUCAUGAUUGGUUCAUAGUCCCGUCUGUGGGUAUAGCGAAGGGGUUAGCAAUAGCCUGGCACAAUAAUGUAGAGCUAAAAUUGCUAUCGGCGCAUUUAAACGUUUGCCAUUUUGAAACAACAAUUGGUGAAAAAGAAAUAGAUAUUACAUGUGUUUAUGGUGCAGUUGAGGCAAAUGAAAAGAUAGCACAAUGGUCACACAUUUUGGAAUUGUCGAAACAAGUUAAAAAGCCAUGGGUACUAACUGGUGACCUGAAUAUAAUUCUCGACCCGGGAGAAAAACAAGGUGGCAAUAGUACAAGCUCAAGCAGCAAAAUGUUCGUAACUCAGAUAAUAGACUCUCUGGGAUUACAAGAUGCGGGCUACGAAGGUGCUCCAUUCACAUGGUCAAACAGCAGAAGUGGAGAGGCGAAUAUAUGCUAGAGGAUUGACAGAGCUUUAAUAUCAUAUCAAUAGAUUCAGAUGUUCCAUAAUACUAAGGUUCAAAUUGGGCGUCCUCAGCUUUACAUGCAGAAGCAAAAUCUCUUUUUAAGGCUUUAAAAUGGCUAGAAGACAAUAUCCUCUCUAGUGUAUUUAUUGCUACAGAUUGUAAAGUUCUGUCAGAUUGCAUUAACAAUAAAGAAACGGCAGUUGCUUGGGUGGCGGAGAAUACUAUAGAAGAAAUUACUUCUAGUCUAGACAAGUUACCACAAAUCAAGCUAAAAUUUAUUAACAGAGAUCAUAAUGCAGCAGCGGACUCGGUAGCAAAAGAAGCAAGAAUAAGAAGACUACAACACAUGUCGAAACACUUGCAACAACAAGUGCUGAAAAAAAAUAUUCUUUCUAAUACUUCCGGAAAAAAUGAAAUUGUAGAACUCAUGUUUUAUAUUGUUUAAAUUAAUAUAUUCUCAUGUUCUAUCAAAAAAAAAAUAAUAAUAAUUACGUGGAGCAAACAAUUCUUUUGCGUUUAGCUACGGUACAUUUGACAUCAGUUACUUAUAGACGUAUAGAAAUUAAUUUAUCGGUCCAUUUAGUUGUCGACAGCGUGCAAGGAUACCAAAUGCAUGAAGCCCACUUGUUCAAUUUUUUUAAGAGGUUAAGGGAAAAUUCUGGUUAUUAGACGAUAUAACCCUUAUCUAUGUCUAACAUUCAUGUCUUUGUUCCUUUCACCAGCAUCAUCUUUUCCGUCUCAGUGACGGUAAUCCCACCACUAACUUCCUGCCAGUACAAUAUCCUUUAGCACAACAACACCAUUACUUUCCAUCAGAAAAAUCUAUUUCAUAUGAGAUUUUCGAUGUUUAACUAAGUUCCCGAAAGAAGAAAACGAAGAAGAGAUCAUUGCACAUGUGAUAUUUUUUUUCAACUCAUGUGACAUUGAUUCAAUUCUCUUGCUUUGUUUGUCUGUAAAUUUCUUGUAUAUGGUUUGCUUUAUAACCCGUAUUAGUAUUUUUCGUUUCUAUCUUUUGGUUCUUCUCUGUCGUCAAUUUGAAUUUACUUUUAUUGUGUGGGUAUGUUAGUACAAUUGCAAUUGAUCAAUCCAUUUGUUAUGUUCUUAAUAAGAUUUCAAUCUAAUAAUGUUAUU
Molecule: long non-coding RNA, 3725 nt
Organism: Papaver somniferum (opium poppy)
Lineage: Eukaryota; Viridiplantae; Streptophyta; Magnoliopsida; Ranunculales; Papaveraceae
Exons: 2
Source: RefSeq, a predicted model, not a curated record